This 406-nucleotide ribosomal RNA is filed under the name uncultured bacterium. RNAcentral describes it as "partial 16S ribosomal RNA". It matches the Rfam family "Bacterial small subunit ribosomal RNA", at positions 30 to 526 of the family's 1533-position model. The record is from RNAcentral.
AUUGAACGCUGGCGGCAGGCCUAACAAAUGCAAGUCGGGCGAGCGACGGACGGGUGAGUAAUGUAUGGGGAUCUGCAGGAUGGCGGGGGAUAACUACUGGAAACGGUAGCUAAUACCGCAUACCAUCAGAUGUGCCCAGAUGGGAUUAGCUAGUAGGUGGGGUAAUGGCUCACCUAGGCGACGAUCCCUAGCUGGUCUGAGAGGAUGACCAGCCACACUGUAACUGAGACACGGUCCAGACCCGUACGGGAGGCAGCAGUGGGGAAUAUUGCACAAUGGGCGCAAGCCUGAUGCAGCCAUGCCGCGUGUGUUAAGAAGGCCUUCGGGUUGUAAAGCACUUUCAGCGAUGAGGCGUUACUCGCAGAAGAAGCACCGGCUAACUCCGUGCCAGCAGCCGCGGUAAUAC